Molecule: unclassified non-coding RNA, 349 nt
Filed under: soil metagenome
Description: partial contains 5.8S ribosomal RNA, internal transcribed spacer 2, and large subunit ribosomal RNA
Rfam family: 5.8S ribosomal RNA (bases 1-120)
Source: RNAcentral
GAUGAAGAACGUAGCGAAAUGCGAUACGUAAUGUGAAUUGCAGGAUUCAGUGAAUCAUCGAGUCUUUGAACGCACAUUGCGCCCCCUGGUAUUCCGGGGGGCAUGCCUGUCCGAGCGUCAUUGCUGCCCUCAAGCACGGCUUGUGUGUUGGGCCUCCGCCCCCCGGCUCCCGGGGGGCGGGCCCGAAAGGCAGCGGCGGCACCGCGUCCGGUCCUCGAGCGUAUGGGGCUUCGUCACCCGCUCCGUAGGCCCGGCCGGCGCCCGCCGGCGACCCCCCUCAAUCUUUCCAGGUUGACCUCGGAUCAGGUAGGGAUACCCGCUGAACUUAAGCAUAUCAAUAAGCGGAGGA